UCCACUAUCUCUCUCCAGAAAAGAACGCCUUAUCCUAAUCUCCUUUCCUCGUCUCAACCUGGUGGUGGCGAAGAAUCAGAGGGCCACAGCCGCCGCCAGUGUCGUAGCCCGGGGUGUCGAGGGAGAGGCGACGGACUGGAGGAACCAGGCGAGCCGGUCGGCGGGUAACCGGAGCAGCAGCGCCAUCGUCUCCUCCCUUCGUCUUUCUUCUAGCUGGAGCGGGGUCGGCCAGCUGCCGCAUCCCCGUCGAGGAAGGGGCCACGGAGCUCACGCCGGAGAGUGGCCUAGUGCUUAGGUAAGGCUGCAGCCGCGCCGUCGUGUGGUCUGCUGACACCAAGGGCUGGUCCAUCGCCGGGGCGUGCAUCAGCAGCGACGCCUCCGAUAUUGGCCACCCGCCAUGGAUGUUCCUCUGCACGCAUGGCAGCAGAUCGCUGCAGCCAUCCUUCUCACCUGGGAAGGAGGAGAGCCAUCAGCAGCAGCCCAGGUUCGUCUCUCUUUUUCCUCGUCCCUGCUCACUUCCUCAACUCUCUGCUCAGGUUCUGUGUGUUGCUGCUAGAUCCUCAAGUGUGAGUUUAGCCUGCUAGAUGUGUAUACUAGUUUCAGUUUAUCUAGAAGAAGAGGGGAGUGAGGAGACCAGUUUCGCUCGUGUCUUGCUCAAUUCUGUACUAGUUUCUCACCAAGUGUCUCCUGACAUGGGUUAGGUGGAUGGAUGGAUACAUAUAUCUAGCAAAAUGAACAUGAGUAAUUAUUGUCUACUGAUUAAGCCGAUUGAUGCAAGGUGUUCAUAUAUCUAUCUAUCUAUGUGUUACUACUUCUAGGAAAUGGAAUCAGUGUUUUUGCUUGGAGAUUGUACUGAUUUUUACGACCAGGAAUUUUUUUGUUUUUUGCAUUCUAGCUACCUCACUUUUUAGCAUGAGUUGCCUAGAGUUCCAAUUCCCCAACCCCCUUGCUUCUCCAUCUACUCCAACUUGUUCUAUCUAACCUGCUCCGAACUGCUGCAGGAUCUACUCAAUUUUGAUCCUUUUCUUAGUGCCUGCCAGUAGUUGCUUCAAAAUUUAGCAUCAGUUGCUUGAAAUUAUAGGCAAAGUUGUUGCAUUUUUUUUUACUUUUGCACACGAGAUCAUGUGUUAUCAUUUUUGUUUAGAAGGAUCAUGUUUGAGGGAACUUGGUGGGCAGAACAAAUCAACAUAUACAAGUAUAAGUCUAUCAUAUGCUAAGUAUAAGUCUAUCAUAUGCUCUGCUCUGCUCUGUCUCUUGAUUGAUGACAACAGAAUUCAGUAGGAGUACCGUUUGUUCAUCCAAUUGAUAAUUCAUUCCUGAACUGCCACCAUUUUUGCGAGAUGAAUAAUGGGCUAGAUUCAGAGAUAAGUGAAUUUUGCCUACAUAUAGAAUUAGAUUGCCACUAUUUUUUUUAUAAAAUGAAAUGAAUGUGCUCCAUGCAACUCAGGGGGUUUUGGUGUUGAUUUUGCAUGAGAUACAACUGAUUUCAAUGUCAUAAACACAUUUUUUUGUGCAACUUGUUGCUUCAAAGCAUGUGUAGUUGCUCAAGUUUAUAAUAUGGGUUGCCUGGAAUUAAACGAAAGGUUACUUUAAUUUUUACUAAAUCUAUAGGGCCUGGAAACAGGGGGAGGUGCGGAUUUUGUACUCCGCUGAGUGGCUUCUCUUGUGACGGGCGUCACGCCUGAUAUGGGGAUUGAAGGGGGUUGGGCAGCAUUGGAUUCGGAAGGCGACUUUCCACUCCAAGGAUAGAAUAGUUACUUGGAUUUCGUUAAAAGAGUUGCAUUUUGUGCGUGUACCGCAGUUGCUUAGUUUUGUUGGGGCAGUUGCUCGGAUUCGUUUUUGAACAUUUUUGUUGCAUUUUUGCCUCUUGUAAUGCGGUUGCUUGGUUUUCCUAGGACAGUUGCUUCCUUUUUACUAGAACAGCUUUGCAUUUUUGUGUUUUUUAAUUGAGUUUCUUGGAUUUUUGCUAGGCUAGAUGAGAAGUUGCAUGGAGAGGGGGGUCAGAUAGUUUUCCACAAAGGUUAUUCAAGUUUCUCACACCCUUUUUUUCUUCCUAAAGUAGUAGAUAAUCUAAGUAGUAAUGCUAGGGACAAUUACCUAUUUUUGCUAGGACAAUUUCACACUUUUCUGUUUCGAGUUGCUUCGAUUGUUUGCUGUAAGUUUUUUAGAUUAUCAUCUCAGAUUUGAAUACGCAUGCAGACUGAGAAGAUACAUCUAUGAAGUAGUUCCUGAUGGCCUAUAACUGAUGCGAUGAUUGACUUGCAUGGCUAUCAUCCCGAUCCUCCUCCCGUCGACGCGCUCCGUGCGAAGCACACCAUCGCCCCACCCUCUACCCUAAAGUAGAUGCUAGGGGAGUUGCUUGAUUUUUCUAGGACAAUUGCUUGGUUUUGCUAGGGUAGUUGCUUGUUUUUCUUGCUAGAACAAUUUUUGCAUUUUGUGUACUUUUGUAGUUGAGUUGUUUGGAUUUUUGCUAGAACAGAUGAGAAGUUACAUGGAGGAGGGGGGAUAAGAUAGUUGUCCACAAAGGUUAUUCAACUUACUCAUAUGUUUUUUUUCUGCCUAAAAUAGACAAUCUAAGUAGUAGUGCCAGAGACAUCUGCUUGUUUCUGCUACAAAAGUUUCCCACUUUUUGCGUUUCUUUGUAAUCGAAUUGCUUUGAUCUUCUGCUACAACAUACGAGAAGGUGGAUGAGAGGGGAGUUGCUUGGUUUUGCUAGGACAUUUUUUUCAUAAAAGGUUAUUCAAGUUGCUCAUACAUUUU
Molecule: long non-coding RNA, 2760 nt
Organism: Aegilops tauschii subsp. strangulata
Lineage: Eukaryota; Viridiplantae; Streptophyta; Magnoliopsida; Poales; Poaceae
Source: RefSeq, a predicted model, not a curated record